UGCGUAGGCGGCUUUUUAAGUUUGGUGUGAAAUCUCCCGGCUCAACUGGGAGGGUGCGCCGAAUACUGAGAAGCUAGAGUGCGGGAGAGGAAAGUGGAAUUCCUGGUGUAGCGGUGAAAUGCGUAGAUAUCAGGAGGAACACCGGUGGUGUAAACGGCUUUCUGGACCGUAACUGACGCUGAUGCACGAAAGCGUGGGUAGCAAACAGGAUUAGAUACCCUGGUAGUCCACGCCCUAAACGAUGCAUAUUUGGUGUGGGCCAUUCAUUUGGUCCGUGCCGGAGCUAACGCGUUAAAUAUGCCGCCUGGGGAGUACAGUCGCAAGGCUGAA
RNAcentral lists this ribosomal RNA (330 nucleotides) under uncultured bacterium. RNAcentral's name for it is "bacterial SSU rRNA". It matches the Rfam family "Bacterial small subunit ribosomal RNA", at positions 568 to 898 of the family's 1533-position model. The record is from RNAcentral.